UGCAAGUCGAGGGGCAGCAUAAAUUACUUGUAAUUUGAUGGCGACCGGCGAACGGGUGCGUAACGCGUAUGCAACUUACCUUUUACUAGAGAAUAGCCAAGAGAAAUUUUGAUUAAUGCUCUAUACACUUAUUAAUUCUCAUGAAUCUAUAAGAAAAGCUCCGGCGGUAAAAGAUGGGCAUGCGUCCUAUUAGCUUGUAGGUGAGGUAACGGCUCACCUAAGCUCCGAUAGGUAGGGGUCCUGAGAGGGAGAUCCCCCACACUGGUACUGAGACACGGACCAGACUUCUACGGAAGGCAGCAGUAAGGAAUAUUGGACAAUGGAGGCAACUCUGAUCCAGCCAUGCCGCGUGAAGGAAGACGGCCUUAUGGGUUGUAAACUUCUUUUAUACAGGAAGAAACCUUUCCACGUGGGAAAGCUGACGGUACUGUAAGAAUAAGGAUCGG
This 446-nucleotide ribosomal RNA is filed under the name uncultured bacterium. RNAcentral's name for it is "bacterial SSU rRNA". It matches the Rfam family "Bacterial small subunit ribosomal RNA", at positions 56 to 496 of the family's 1533-position model. The record is from RNAcentral.